Molecule: non-coding RNA, 171 nt
Organism: Chiloscyllium plagiosum (whitespotted bambooshark)
Lineage: Eukaryota; Metazoa; Chordata; Chondrichthyes; Orectolobiformes; Hemiscylliidae
Source: RefSeq, a predicted model, not a curated record
GGGACAGUGUGAUAUAACGUGGGAGUGGGGUGUGAGGGUACAGGGACAGUGUGAUAUAACGUGGGAGUGGGGUGUGAGGGUACAGGGACAGUGUGAUAUAACGUGGGAGUGGGGUGUGAGGGGGACAGUGACAGUGUGAUAUAACGUGGGAGCGGGGUGUGAGGGGGACAG